CAUCACAUGCAAUUAGUUCAAGCGGUCAAACUGGUAGAGCACAGUGCAACCAGUUUGUCCAGUUGAACAAAUAUCCCGGCUUUAAAAAUGCUUGUUCUUUUGUCGUUUCUAUUUAUUAUUUUUCUGCUCUCCUCAUCAGCAUAAGUAGCAGCAGCUUUGUUUUUCCUCUUAUGUGCAUAAUGCAUAUACAUGCUAUUACAUGCUUAUGAUUUUGAACGAUGUUUUACUUUCUGCCUUACCAUUAUUGCAAAAGUUCCAACAUAUCUUGACAGCUAGAGUCUUGUACUUGUACGUAGGCUAAGAAAUGUGCAUUUGAUGGCCCUAAUGGGUUAGUACUGCCAUUUUUGCUUCUAUUUUGUGUGGACAUUUGCAUGGUUAUAGUGUUCUCACGUUUAAAACACUAACCCAGUGAAACUACACAUCUAGGACCCUUUUAUUAAACCUGGAGACGGAGAAUGAGAAGCUUCGCAGCAUUCCCCAUGCUGUAGUUCCUCCCUUGUUAGUUAGUGAUUGAAGAAGUGCAAAAGCAUGCUCCAAAGAAGAAUAUUUUUCUAUCGAAGAAGUAAAAUGCUGGAGUAUUAGGUUUCCCCUUAAAUCAAUUGAGAGGACAAAGUGUGAAAAGGACGAAUCUAUAAUUGCUAGACAAAUACAGAAAGAAUAAUCUCUCUCUUAUAAUUGGUGCAUAACAGUCUGAGUUACGGACUGAGAACCACUAUCUACAAGUUCAUGAUGAUAGAUACUAUCAUGGUAUCUAGUAUAGCAAGAUACUGUAGAGCAUUUAUAGUUAUAUGCAUGCCAUAGCCUCUUUAGGCACACAAGGUUUGCUUCCCGCCUAUGUUUUAGCAUAAUUCAUGUGUUGUACUUUUACAUUUACCCAACAAAGGUAUCUGAACAUCACGUUAGUUAUGGUCAUAUAUCUAAGGAACACUGGACUGAAAUCAAGUUGACUUUUUUUUGGCAACAGCAAGUAGAGGUGUGGCUUGUGUUUUAGCUGCAAGAAAGAAGGCCCUGAUUUGCAUACUGGACGAGUAAGAAGAAGAAUCUCUUAUUUAGAAUGACUGUUUGUUCAAGAGUUUGUGAUGGUUAUACUUGAGUUGCUGCUGUGGGUGGGCCUCUAAUACUUGAAGCUGCAGACAUCGGUGUGAGAAGCAAUGCAUGUGGGCUUUCUGACUGAAGCUCUUUGACUCCACCCUUCUUCGAGAAGUCCUAACCUGUACUUGCCAUGUGCCUCUUCUGCUAGGCGGGCAUUUGUUGAAGGAAAAAGUGGAGUAAAAGGUAACAAUUUAUCUAUUGAUUUGGAUAGAAUUGACCGAAAGAUGGCGAGUCAUGGCUUCUAUCCGGUGGUAACCGCCUUCAUGGUAUUGCUAUAAGCUUUGAGACCUACUUGAUAGUGCCAAGCUUUUGCUUCAUCUGUAUAUGUUCAUUAUUUUCAUGUGUAAGGGAACCAAAUAUUUGGUUUGGACUAUCUAUACUUUGGGUUCAGUGGUUCGGGCAGUGUGCUUGGCUAACGAACUCUACAUUUGCAUAUUGAAAUCUCUCGCUUGAGAUUGACUCA
This is a long non-coding RNA of Eucalyptus grandis, 1555 nucleotides long. RefSeq lists it as uncharacterized. The transcript is spliced from 2 exons. The record is from RefSeq and is a predicted model, not a curated record. Lineage: Eukaryota; Viridiplantae; Streptophyta; Magnoliopsida; Myrtales; Myrtaceae.